GAAUAUAAUCAUCAUUUACGGUUAAAAACAUUAUGAAAAUUGAAGCUUUGUGUGUUCUUAUUGUAAUUUAUUUAUUUUAUAGCAGGUAAACUUUAUACUGUAAGCUUCAUUCCCAUUAUAACAGAGUUUUUAUAUGUGAGGUAAUCUUGCUGGGAGUGAAGGCAGUGCGUAUGACCACUUGAUAUGAGAGACACAUCCUGUUUUUAAAGGUGGAUCAUGAGUGAAGCUCUGCAGGUCGGCCAUUGACUUGAUAACAGUGGUUUAUUUUUAUUCAAUUUAUGAAUAAAUCUCUCGCCAACCAUUCACCUAUUUACUGACAAAACAGAUCCAAGUCUUGUUCAGCCUGAUGCUCAACCUUGUAUGAUGAUGACCACAGCCAGGUGAUGAGAUCUGUGUUAAUCACAGCCUGCGUCUUAAGAUCAACAUGACAAUAGCGGCCAUCUUUUAUCUUACUCUUAUCUGACUAAACAUUGGAUGGAGUAUGUACUGUACAAUGACCCAGCAAACAAAAUAAUAUGGACUUUUUUGGCGAGAUUCUAACAUUGACACAAUCCUAUUGACUUUAAUUUUUACAGUUAGUAAUGUAUUAUUAACAUCCUAUUCAUUUGUAUUCUAUGCCAUCUAUCUGUUUGUGCUAAAGUGUUUACAUCUGAAUGUAAUGUCAUAAUAUGUUAAUAUUCAGUAUUUAUUAUCAUUUGCAUGUUUUGAUGUUGCAUUUGUCAUGAUUUUAUUAAUUUCAUGUUAUUGUUGUCUAUUUAGAAUGAUUGUCUUUGCCAAUGAUUCUGAUUUUAAUGCACAUAUUUAUUAUUGUAUAUCUCAUGUAAUGAAAACGUGAAAAUAAAAGUAUUUUUCUGAUGUCUUGCGGUUCUGUUUUUAAACUGUUAAACCGUGUAAAGUGCUAUAAAUAAAAAACAAAAAUAUAAACGAAAAUAACCCUCCUGACUGCUAA
This is a non-coding RNA of Misgurnus anguillicaudatus (oriental weatherfish), 949 nucleotides long. Lineage: Eukaryota; Metazoa; Chordata; Actinopteri; Cypriniformes; Cobitidae. The record is from RefSeq and is a predicted model, not a curated record.